Molecule: ribosomal RNA, 135 nt
Filed under: Triticum aestivum (bread wheat)
Lineage: Eukaryota; Viridiplantae; Streptophyta; Magnoliopsida; Poales; Poaceae
Description: partial small subunit ribosomal RNA
Source: RNAcentral
AUGCUGCUCACUGUCGUUUUGGUCGUUUUUCUGUUUUUUGUUGUUACGAAAAAGGGAGGUGGAAAGUCAGUGCCAAAUGCAUGGCAAUCCUUGGUCGAGCUUAUUUAUGAUUUCGUGCUGAACCUGGAAAUGUGA